AUCCAGCUGAUGAGUCCCAAAUAGGACGAAACGUGCAUCAUGGAU
RNAcentral lists this non-coding RNA (45 nucleotides) under Schistosoma margrebowiei. The record is from RNAcentral. Lineage: Eukaryota; Metazoa; Platyhelminthes; Trematoda; Strigeidida; Schistosomatidae.